RNAcentral lists this ribosomal RNA (427 nucleotides) under uncultured prokaryote. RNAcentral describes it as "bacterial SSU rRNA". It matches the Rfam family "Bacterial small subunit ribosomal RNA", at positions 355 to 774 of the family's 1533-position model. The record is from RNAcentral.
UAGGGAAUCUUCGGCAAUGGGCGAAAGCCUGACCGAGCAACGCCGCGUGAAUGAUGAAGGCCUUCGGGUUGUAAAAUUCUGUUAUAAGGGAAGAAUGGCUCUAGUAGGAAAUGGCUAGAGUGUGACGGUACCUUAUGAGAAAGCCACGGCUAACUACGUGCCAGCAGCCGCGGUAAUACGUAGGUGGCGAGCGUUAUCCGGAAUUAUUGGGCGUAAAGAGCGCGCAGGUGGUUGAUUAAGUCUGAUGUGAAAGCCCACGGCUUAACCGUGGAGGGUCAUUGGAAACUGGUCAACUUGAGUGCAGAAGAGGGAAGUGGAAUUCCAUGUGUAGCGGUGAAAUGCGUAGAGAUCGGGAGGAACACCAGUGGCGAAGGCGACUUACUGGACUGUAACUGACGCUGAGGCGCGAAAGCGUGGGGAGCAAACA